AGAGUUUGAUUCUGGCUCAGGAUGAACGCUGGCGGCGUGCCUAACACAUGCAAGUCGAACGAAGCAUGCCGGAGGAAGUUUUCGGAUGGAAUCCGGGAUGACUGAGUGGCGGACGGGUGAGUAACGCGUGGGUAACCUGCCCUGUACAGGGGGACAACAGUUAGAAAUGACUGCUAAUACCGCAUAAGCGCACAGGACCGCAUGGUCCGGUGUGAAAAACUCCGGUGGUACAGGAUGGACCCGCGUCUGAUUAGGUAGUUGGCGGGGUAACGGCCCACCAAGCCGACGAUCAGUAGCCGACCUGAGAGGGUGACCGGCCACAUUGGGACUGAGACACGGCCCAAACUCCUACGGGAGGCAGCAGCGCCGAAUAUUGCACAAUGGGGGGAACCCUGAUGCAGCGACGCCGCGUGAGUGAACGAAUAUUUCGGUAUGUAAAGCUCUAUCAGCAGG
Molecule: ribosomal RNA, 453 nt
Filed under: uncultured bacterium
Lineage: Bacteria
Description: bacterial SSU rRNA
Rfam family: Bacterial small subunit ribosomal RNA
Source: RNAcentral